This is a long non-coding RNA of Hibiscus syriacus, 279 nucleotides long. RefSeq lists it as uncharacterized. NCBI's taxonomy places the organism in Eukaryota, Viridiplantae, Streptophyta, Magnoliopsida, Malvales, Malvaceae. The transcript is spliced from 3 exons. The record is from RefSeq and is a predicted model, not a curated record.
GGAAGGACAGCUUCGUAGAACGUCUUCCAUCGAGUGCGAGCCCAGGACUUUGAGUAUUGAUCAAAUCCAAUGUGCUAGAGAGGCUGCCAUGUAUGUGGUGAGUACUAGAACCAUCGAAGAAGCCAUGUCUAUUUUCACUCAGGGAUUAGAGCCAGUAGUAUGCGCUGCAGGAGAUAACAUGGAUACCACCAUGGAUCUCAAUGGAUUAGAGUACUUCCAAGGCCUACAGCUUCAAGGAAUGCGCGACGUCGUUUCUGCUCCUUUCUAGAUUAGCUUUUU